This 492-nucleotide ribosomal RNA is filed under the name uncultured bacterium. RNAcentral's name for it is "partial 16S ribosomal RNA". It matches the Rfam family "Bacterial small subunit ribosomal RNA", at positions 28 to 507 of the family's 1533-position model. The record is from RNAcentral.
GAUGAACGCUAGCUACAGGCUUAACACAUGCAAGUCGAGGGGAAACGACAUCGAAAGCUUGCUUUUGAUGGGCGUCGACCGGCGCACGGGUGAGUAACGCGUAUCCAACCUGCCCAUCACUUGGGAAUAACCUUGCGAAAGUAAGACUAAUACCCAAUGACAUCCCACGAAGACAUCUGAAUGGGAUUAAAGAUUUAUCGGUGAUGGAUGGGGAUGCGUCUGAUUAGCUUGUUGGCGGGGUAACGGCCCACCAAGGCAACGAUCAGUAGGGGUUCUGAGAGGAAGGUCCCCCACAUUGGAACUGAGACCCGGUCCAAACUCCUACGGGAGGCAGCAGUGAGGAAUAUUGGUCAAUGGGCGAGAGCCUGAACCAGCCAAGUAGCGUGCAGGAUGACGGCCCUAUGGGUUGUAAACUGCUUUUAUAAGGGAAUAAAGUGGGUCUCGUGAGACUUUUUGCAUGUACCUUAUGAAUAAGGACCGGCUAAUUCCGUG